Non-coding RNA from Salmo salar (Atlantic salmon), 1127 nucleotides. The record is from RefSeq and is a predicted model, not a curated record. NCBI's taxonomy places the organism in Eukaryota, Metazoa, Chordata, Actinopteri, Salmoniformes, Salmonidae.
UGGACGUUCCUGGUCUGAAAUCAGGGAGUAUUUUUGCCAAAACUUCAGUGCACAACAACGCAUUUAAAAACAAACCAAACAAUCCUUUGACUGAGCUACUGGAGAGGAUACAUUUCUUUGCUGAAUACCCCCCCAUGGGCGUCGCCCCCAAUGUGCUGGAAAUCCAUCCAGCACAUUGGGGGCGACGAAAUAAGGGACUCCAUCAUUUUCAAUGAAGGGGAACGAAGUUGGCGGGGGACCGUGACCAGAUCAGUGCAGCUGAAGAAAAGGAGUCAAGGAGAGGAGCCAAGAAGAGGACGACACUUAAGUCUAUUGAGGCUUCUUAGGACAACCACUGGACUUGGACAUAACAGACCAUGUUGAUUCUUAUCCAUAUAACUUAAUCUAUGGCUGUCCUUACAAACCUAGAAGAGUAUGAUGCACUAAAUGUGAUGGUAGAAUACAAAGUGCUGCCAAAGACAAUUAAAUUGAUACACCUGGGAUUAUCAAUAAAUCAAAAAUAUCCUUUGAGCAACCAGUUGGUCAAAAGUCAAAAUAUCCAUGAUACACAAUCAGAUUUAGGUUCUUAUAGGAGUUUUUCAAUCUUUAUUUAUACGUUUUUAACUUCAUCAUGUUUUGUGGGUUCACCCGAUAGCUGAUCAAAGGUUGAGCCAUAGAUGUAGGUCAACAUAUAAACAUCUCCUACAGUAGGAGUCCUACAUCUCUGGUUUGUCAGCUACUGUCUAGUUCUAGACCUAGGCUCUGUCCCAAAUGGACCAUAUACCCUAUAAUGUGCACUACUUUUGACCAGGGCCCAUAGUCCACAUGGGCCUCGGUAAAAAGUAGUGCACUAUAUAGGUAAUAGGGUGAAAUUUGGGAUGAAUCCCUAGUCUGUCCAUCUACAAGUACUUAACUAGAUUUGCCUGAUUGAGCAUAGGACUCUGCUUGACGUGGACCUGCUGCCAGGAAGCCUGGAUGCCAUUGAUGCUGCAACACAACGUCAACAUUUUAACCCUAGCCCAGACGGAAUGCACAGACUUAUCCUGUCUAAUCGUCUGCCUCUCAUAUCAUUUAGAAAGUACUGUAUGUUGUGGACGUAUGCCUAACUUGUCGAAUGUAAAAAAUAAAAAGUGCCAGUAAGGAAUGUU